RNAcentral lists this unclassified non-coding RNA (391 nucleotides) under soil metagenome. RNAcentral's name for it is "partial contains 5.8S ribosomal RNA, internal transcribed spacer 2, and large subunit ribosomal RNA". The stretch from base 1 to 122 matches the Rfam family "5.8S ribosomal RNA", at positions 35 to 154 of the family's 154-position model. The record is from RNAcentral.
GAUGAAGAACGUAGCGAAAUGCGAUACUUGGUGUGAAUGGCAGAAUCCCGUGAACCAUCGAGUCUUCGAACGCAAGUUGCGCCCGAAGCCAUUAGGCCGAGGGCACGCCUGCCUGGGCGUCACACGUCGUUGCCCCCCCAUCUACUCCUUCGGGAUUGCGGGGGGCGGAUGAUGGCCUCCCGUGCGCCUCGUCGCGCGGUUGGCAUAAAUGCCAAGUCCUCGGCGACGCACGCCACGACAAUCGGUGGUUGCGAAACCUCGGUUGCCCGUCGUGUGCGGUCGUCGCGCAUCGAGGGCUCGAAAAAAUUGCCGGGCUCCGGCUCGGCUUUCAACGCGACCCCAGGUCAGGCGGGGUUACCCGCUGAAUUUAAGCAUAUCAAUAAGCGGAGGA